Loxodonta africana (African savanna elephant) is the source of this 72-nucleotide transfer RNA. It matches the Rfam family "tRNA". From Rfam's summary of the family: Transfer RNA (tRNA) molecules are approximately 80 nucleotides in length. Their secondary structure includes four short double-helical elements and three loops (D, anti-codon, and T loops). Further hydrogen bonds mediate the characteristic L-shaped molecular structure. tRNAs have two regions of fundamental functional importance: the anti-codon, which is responsible for specific mRNA codon recognition, and the 3' end, to which the tRNAs corresponding amino acid is attached (by aminoacyl-tRNA synthetases). tRNAs cope with the degeneracy of the genetic code in two manners: having more than one tRNA (with a specific anti-codon) for a particular amino acid; and 'wobble' base-pairing, i.e. permitting non-standard base-pairing at the 3rd anti-codon position. The record is from Rfam. NCBI's taxonomy places the organism in Eukaryota, Metazoa, Chordata, Mammalia, Proboscidea, Elephantidae.
UCCCUGGUGGUCUAGUGGCUAGGAUCUGGCGCUUUCACCGCCGUGGCCCGGGUUCGAUUCCCGGUGAGGGAA